CGCAGCCGCGGUAAUUCCAGCUCCAAUCCCCCCCCCCAGCGUAUAUUAAAGUUGUUGCAGUUAAAAAGCUCGUAGUUGAAUUUCGGGGUUAGUAGGUUGGUCAUGCCUCUGGUAUGUACUGGUCUCACUGACUCCUCCUUCCUGAUGAGCCGUAAUGCCAUUAAUUUGGUGUUGCGGGGAAUUUGGACUGUUACUUUGAAAAAAUUAGAGUUAAGUUCAAAGCAUGCAACGCUUGAAAUACAUUAGCAUGGAAUAAUGAAAUAGGACGUUCGAUCCUAUUUUGUUGGUUUCUAGGAUUGACGUAAUGAUUAAUAGGGAUAGUUGGGGGCAUUAGUAUUCAAUUGUCAGAGGUGAAAUUCUUGGAUUUAUUGAAGACUAACUACUGCGAAAGCAUUUGCCAAGGAUGUUUUCAUUAAUCAAGAACGAAAGUUAGGGGAUCGAAGACGAUCAGAUACCGUCGUAGUCUUAACCAUAAACUAUGCCGACUAGGGAUCGGAUGAUGUUAAUUUUUUAAUGACUC
This 520-nucleotide unclassified non-coding RNA is filed under the name uncultured Glomus. Its description in RNAcentral is "sequence contains 18S rRNA gene". It matches the Rfam family "Eukaryotic small subunit ribosomal RNA", at positions 569 to 1077 of the family's 1831-position model. The record is from RNAcentral. Lineage: Eukaryota; Fungi; Glomeromycota; Glomeromycetes; Glomerales; Glomeraceae.